UGUGGAGUCAAAGUGGCAUAUUCAGGGAUUUCCUCUCGAUCUGUGUCUCAAAUACUCCCAAAUAAACCCAAAGACGAACGGCAUCCUGUUUAAUAAAUCAUAUUACAACAGAUGACUUGUGUUCGUGUACAAUU
Molecule: small nucleolar RNA, 134 nt
Filed under: Drosophila mojavensis
Lineage: Eukaryota; Metazoa; Arthropoda; Insecta; Diptera; Drosophilidae
Description: snoRNA:GI25429
Source: RNAcentral